GUAGGCCUAUGUAGAAAAUAAAAAUUUUAAAAUAUUUUUUAGAUUAUAUAUUGGCCAAUUUACAUAAAAAAUUCACUAGUUUUGAGAUUUUGCAAAAGUUGGCCACAUUUUUCUUUUUUAUAGAUUCGGUCUGAAUUUUUUGCCACCGGACGAAAAUGCCCUCGGUCCGCUCCACCCGUACUCCCUCACAUAUGUAUAAAAUACGGUACGGCCUACUACAGCGGGUUACGUCAACUAAUUUUUCAAAAUUCAAACCAAAUCGCGCCACACUAUUCGCCAACCUUGUGAAGACUUCGU
Molecule: long non-coding RNA, 297 nt
Filed under: Ananas comosus (pineapple)
Lineage: Eukaryota; Viridiplantae; Streptophyta; Magnoliopsida; Poales; Bromeliaceae
Description: long non-coding RNA (ACOM_LNC021034)
Source: RNAcentral